This 151-nucleotide microRNA precursor is filed under the name Erinaceus europaeus (western European hedgehog). Its description in RNAcentral is "miRNA (ENSEEUG00000023731.1)". The record is from RNAcentral. Lineage: Eukaryota; Metazoa; Chordata; Mammalia; Eulipotyphla; Erinaceidae.
AUCUCAGAAGCUAAGAAGGGUCGGGCCUGGUUAGUACUUGGGUGGGAGAAUCACUUAUUCUACUACUGUCUUCUUUAUUUUCCUACCAUUGCUGUUCUUUUGUUUAUUUUUGCUCAUUGAUCUCAUCUUUUGACUUGGGUGAUUUGUUUCU